GAUUAGCUCAGCGGGAGAGCGCUUCCCUGACACGGAAGAGGUCACUGGUUCAAUCCCAGUAUCGCGCACCACAGU
RNAcentral lists this transfer RNA (75 nucleotides) under Mycobacterium rhizamassiliense. RNAcentral describes it as "Mycobacterium sp. AB57 partial tRNA-Val". It matches the Rfam family "tRNA". From Rfam's summary of the family: Transfer RNA (tRNA) molecules are approximately 80 nucleotides in length. The record is from RNAcentral. Lineage: Bacteria; Bacillati; Actinomycetota; Actinomycetes; Mycobacteriales; Mycobacteriaceae.